CCUACGGGAGGCAGCAGUGGGGAAUAUUGCACAAUGGGGGGAACCCUGAUGCAGCAAUGCCGCGUGGGUGAAGAAGCACUUCGGUGCGUAAAGCUCUGUCAGCAGGGAAGAAAAUGACAGUACCUGACCAAGAAGCCCCGGCUAACUACGUGCCAGCAGCCGCGGUAAUACGUAGGGGGCAAGCGUUAUCCGGAUUUACUGGUUGGAAAGGGAGCCCAGGCGGUAUGGGAAGUCAGAAGUGAAAGCCCAGGGCUCAACCCUGGGACUGCAUUGGAAACUGGGAUACUGGAGUGCCGGAGAGGUAAGUGGAAUUCCUAGUGUAGCGGUGAAAUGCGUAGAUAUUAGGAGGAACACCAGUGGCGAAGGCGGCUUACUGGACGGUAACUGACGCUGAGGCUCGAAAGCGUGGGGAGCAAACAGGAUUAGAUACCCCAGUAGUC
Molecule: ribosomal RNA, 440 nt
Filed under: uncultured bacterium
Lineage: Bacteria
Description: partial 16S ribosomal RNA
Rfam family: Bacterial small subunit ribosomal RNA
Source: RNAcentral